GGAGAGGUGUAGGAGUGGCUUAACUAGCAGUCCUGGAAAGACUGUAUACCGCAAGGUAUCGCGGGUUCGAAUCCCGCCCUCUCCGCCA
Molecule: transfer RNA, 88 nt
Filed under: Candidatus Portnoyibacteriota bacterium
Lineage: Bacteria; Candidatus Portnoyibacteriota
Also listed under: 1 other name
Description: tRNA-Ser
Rfam family: tRNA
About the family: Transfer RNA (tRNA) molecules are approximately 80 nucleotides in length. Their secondary structure includes four short double-helical elements and three loops (D, anti-codon, and T loops).
Source: RNAcentral